Molecule: non-coding RNA, 72 nt
Organism: Ictidomys tridecemlineatus (thirteen-lined ground squirrel)
Lineage: Eukaryota; Metazoa; Chordata; Mammalia; Rodentia; Sciuridae
Source: Rfam
AGGGAUGUAGCUCAUUGGUAGAGUGCCUGCCUGGCAUGCAUGAGGCCCUGGGUUUGAUCCCUAGUGCCACAA